AAGAACGUUACCGUAAAGGGAGCCCUGUGGAUAGGGAGGAUCAUCAUUAUGAAAGGAGCUCUCUGGACAGGGAAAAAUACAAUCAGAAAAGAAGCCCUGCUUACAAGGAAGAAACUCUUCACAAAACAGAUGCGGAAGAGUACUCCCACAGAAGUUCUAGGGAUCGGGAAGAAGGCUCUUACAAGCGCCACAGGCAUAAUAGUGGGUCUGAC
RNAcentral lists this unclassified non-coding RNA (212 nucleotides) under Hevea brasiliensis (rubber tree). The record is from RNAcentral. Lineage: Eukaryota; Viridiplantae; Streptophyta; Magnoliopsida; Malpighiales; Euphorbiaceae.